GAUGAACGCUGGCGGCGUGCCUAACACAUGCAAGUCGAGCGAACGGACCAGAAGCUUGCUUUUCUGAUGUUAUCGGCGGACGGGUGAGUAACACGUGGACAACCUACCUAUAAGACUGGGAUAACUUCGGGAAACCGGAUCUAAUACCGGAUAAUUUUUUGAACCGCAUGGUUCAAAAGUGAAAGACGGUCUUGCUUUCACUUAUAGCUGGAUCCGCGCUGCAUUAGCUAGUUGGUAAGGUAACGGCUUACCAAGGCAACGAUGCAUAGCCGACCUGAGCGGGUGAUCGGACAGACGGGAUGAGAGACGGGGUACCGACUCCGGCGGGGAGCAGCAGUCGAGAAUCUUACGCGAGGGGGGAGAGCCGAAUAGAGCAACACGGCGGGAGGGAUGAUGCUGUUCUGAUCGUAAAGCGCUGUUGUUCGGAGGGAACAAAUGUGUAUGUACCUGGGAAGAUAAUGACGGUACCUGGACAAAAAGCCACGGCUAACUACGUG
RNAcentral lists this ribosomal RNA (497 nucleotides) under uncultured bacterium. Its description in RNAcentral is "partial 16S ribosomal RNA". It matches the Rfam family "Bacterial small subunit ribosomal RNA", at positions 28 to 507 of the family's 1533-position model. The record is from RNAcentral.